Molecule: long non-coding RNA, 1418 nt
Organism: Esox lucius (northern pike)
Lineage: Eukaryota; Metazoa; Chordata; Actinopteri; Esociformes; Esocidae
Source: Ensembl
CUCCUCUGUUUUCUCAUUUAAAUUAUUACUUGAUCAUAUCUCCACAUCUUUCAAAAGCUUCCAGCAUUUUUCUUCACCUGGUUGUUCUGAAAAAAAAGAAUACUAAUGAAAAGAAAUAAAAAUCAGGUGAAAUGAAAUAUCAUAUACAUUUGCAGCAGGAAAAGUACAUCAGAAUAUACACCACUCAUUCCAUCCCCAUGUUUACAAAUUUUACUGCACUUUAAUGCAUGUCAUUAAAGUCUAUAUAUUUCAGCAAAACCUGUCCCUACACAUACUGUGUAAGAAAUUAGCGCACCAGCUAUGGUUAGCAGGAUGAGUCAUUUAUUCAAAGUCUUCCGUUGGCUGGUUCUAGAAUAUCAUCAGUAUUUUAGAAUAUAAGUUGGCUUAUACCAUACAAUGAAAUCCAAAAACAUGACCACAACACAUUGGUAGUUAUUAAUCUGUUCAUUUCUCUGUGUCUACCUAUUCUGGAGAGGGACAACACCCAAUAACCCUUCAUACGUCACCCCAAAGACAGGACCAGUUGAAAUAGCCAACAUACUGUAUACAUGUGCAAAUAGGAAAUGGCCUGUUCUUUCUUUACUGCUCACAGUGCAAUGAUUUAUUCUUUUUCCAUUCAAUGUUUGAAUCUAUUUGCCACUAAAAUAAAUUAAACCUGUCAACGAUUCUAAGGUAACUCACAGGACUGAGGUAUGGUAUCAAAAUGUUUGCCUUCCUAAUUCAUUCAAAAGAGAACUGAGGGAGAGAACAAGCAUUACACACUGGCUCUACCACACAGAGUCCAGAUACUGCGUCCCAAACUUAAGAGGAACAAGCAGGAGGAAACAAACAACAACAAACAACAAACAACAAGUUGAGUUUUUCUCUCAGGAGUAUAAAAGUGUCAAGAUGCGCAGAGCAUUAUAAAAUGCUUAGGCUCGAGUUCUAUUCUUCAACACUAAGUACAGUGUGCUUUGGAUUAAAUAUCACUCUUUUUGAAAUAAUAUUGAUAUCUUAAAUAAGUUAGACAAAAGAUACCAAUUAUAUUUUAUUUCUUUAAAACUGUGCGCUCAACUCACCAUUUGUAAAUAUGCUGGUAUGACACUUGUAAAGAUAUUUAGCUUGAGUAUUUACAGAGCAAGCCAUCAGUGUUUCAAUAUGUUCUGUCCGACACUGGACACAGGGGUAGUCACUGUCUUUGAGCAGUAAAGGAUAAUAGUAUUUGUUUAGAGCUUUUUUUUUCUUCUAUUCACACGCUAGAACAUUUCUUUGACACACCAUCACAAAAAUAUGCUAUUCUUUCAUUGAGUUGGUUAUAUGCAGUGACUGGAAUAUUAUUUACAGUUACAUUUCUUUUUCUUAAAUCUUGAAUUCACAAUGUAUUUAUAUGAAAUUGUUUUUUAUAGUAUACAUGUUUAUUCUAAACAACAAAAACAACA